AUCGAUUCAAAUUGGGAGUCAACGUAUAUGAAUAUUACGAAAGUUAUCGAAAAGUCCGAGGCAAUUCCACGAGACUUCAGGAUCAAGAGACCAAAUAUCCAAUCAGACUAAAGUCCUUCCACCGACUGUGUAUGGACAAGACAACCAAGUUUUAAACUUACAGCAAUCAAUUUGUUUAGUUUUAAUAAUUUUUCUUAAAUAGUAUGAAUUUUAAAAAUAAUAAUUAGAAUAAAACUAGGUAUAGCAUUUAAGGCAAACUACUAAAAUAUUUUCUUGUAUCAAAGCAAAAAUUUAUUGAACCUUUCAACCUAUGCAUAUUUAGGUAGAUGUGUAAAAUACUACGAAAAUUAAUAAAUACAUAAUAAAUAACACAAAUAUUACUAAACUCAUCACAAAUGGAUUUAUCUAUCUAGAUGUAAAUCUGUCUUCUGUUCACAAUUUCAAUACUUUCUCAAAAUGUACGUAUAUCUUCUUCGUUAGAUGAUAAACAUCACAUAAUUAAAGUACAUCUAUUUGCUUCCUAUUAUAAAUUUUCGAAGAAAUAUGUUGACCUUGGUAAAGACAGUUUAUUAAAUUACUUUUCUCGUUUUAGUCGGAGAUAAAGGGAGUAUUCAAUCGAUAUUGAGCUACAGACAUCUGUAUAUAUAAAAGGCAGGAUGUGUGUGUGUGUGUGUGUGUGUGUGUGUGUGUGUGUGUGUUUACGUGAAUGUAAUUUAUGCACGUCCACAAAUUAGCACACAUGUCGCUCCAGUUUUAGGACAUUCGUCAUGGCUCUAGCUGUAUUUUCAUGAACUUAUUUUUCCCAGAGGCACCAGCGAAUAACAGUAAAAAUUAAUUUUCAACCAAAACUUUUAACAAUUUUCAAGUCGGAGAAAUCACCACUGUUUACAAACAGGAGUUACAUUCCCUUCUAGCGACGAGUAAGUUUUUGUUAAGAGUU
Octopus bimaculoides (California two-spot octopus) is the source of this 940-nucleotide long non-coding RNA. The record is from RefSeq and is a predicted model, not a curated record. NCBI's taxonomy places the organism in Eukaryota, Metazoa, Mollusca, Cephalopoda, Octopoda, Octopodidae.